RNAcentral lists this ribosomal RNA (441 nucleotides) under uncultured bacterium. Its description in RNAcentral is "partial 16S ribosomal RNA". It matches the Rfam family "Bacterial small subunit ribosomal RNA", at positions 338 to 795 of the family's 1533-position model. The record is from RNAcentral.
CCUACGGGAGGCAGCAGUGGGGAAUAUUGCACAAUGGGCGAAACCCUGAUGCAGCAACGCCGCGUGAGUGAGGAAGGAUUUCGGUAUGUAAAGCCCUAUUAGCAGGGAAUAGAAAAGAAGGUACCUGAAAAAGAAGCAUCGGCUAACUACGUGCCAGCAGCCGCGGUAAUACGUAGGGGGCAAGCGUUAUCCGGAUUUACUGGGUGUAAAGGGAGCGUAGACGGAAAGGUAAGUCAGAAGUGAAAGCCCAAGGCUCAACCAUGGGACUGCUUUUGAAACUGGCAAACUAGAGUACGGGUGAGGUAAGAGGAAUUCCUAGUGUAGCGGUGAAAUGCGUAGAUAUUAGGAGGAACACCAGUGGCGAAGGCGUCUUACUGGACCGUAACUGACGUUGAUGCUCGAAAGCGUGGGGAGCAAACAGGAUUAGAUACCCUUGUAGUC